CUCUGUUUCAAAGCCAAAAUGCUUGAACAUAAAUCAGGAAUAUAACCAUUGAAGCUAAUGGAAUUAACUCAGUGCAAGGGAGAGCAGAAUCAGGCCCUGUCAAUAUGCUUUGGAAACAAAUGAGGAGGUCUCAAGGUGCUUCCUAAUCCUUACCUCAAAGAAUUGUGAUCCCCUGUUUACCAUACACCAUGACUAGCCCCACUGGAGCAGCUGGGAAGAAUGGUGCUGCUGACUGUGAGUAAGGACCCAGCCUGGCCCAUAGUGUUUGAAUUCAAAGGAAUCCAAAGUACUUUAAUAACUGCGCUUCGAGAUGGACUAUGGCAGAACCUGAAAUUUAUUUGGAAUACGUGCAACAUUUCAAGCUUGUGAAUCCAUUUGGAGAAUCCAACUUCAUCUUCCAUUGGAAUCUUGAUAUAUCACAUUCCUACAGCUACAGAGAAAAUAAAUGAUGCCCUCAAAGAAGCCUUCAGGAACUCAGUAUGGGAAGCAAAUUGAAAUCUCGUUUCCAGCAAGGGGCAAAUUUGAUCGGAAAAUAUUAACAUAGACUGGGCUUUAGCAAUUGUCCCAGUACAGAGGAAAUUGAGCAAAGAGGAAAUGCUGGAAGUCCUAUUACUGAAGGAAUUAGCAGAUUACCUGAAGAUAAGAAAUGGAAGUAUGAGGAAAGCCAUGGCGAAUCGGACAGUGUUCCUGGCAGCAUAAAGGACAGUGAUGAUAUGGUCGGCGAUCCUAAACUCUGCCAAUAUUGAUUGUACAAUUUGUGAACGAUCUGGGCAAAAUCAAGGAUAUGAUUGUGGCAUUAUGUCCCAUAUUCUUCAUAGUAAUAUUAUUAUGAUAUGAGUAUGGCAUAAUUACAAUGUAUUUUGUGCAAGAUAAGAUGUGAGAUCAUUGGAAAGGUUAUAAUUUACUGAAUAUGAUUAUCCUAUUUGUCUGCAUGUAUCAUUUUUGUAUCGGAAGU
Molecule: long non-coding RNA, 955 nt
Organism: Gopherus evgoodei (Goodes thornscrub tortoise)
Lineage: Eukaryota; Metazoa; Chordata; Testudines; Testudinidae
Exons: 4
Source: RefSeq, a predicted model, not a curated record